UGGGGAAUAUUGCGCAAUGGGCGAAAGCCUGACGCAGCGACGCCGCGUGGAGGAUGAAGGUCUUCGGAUUGUAAACUUCUGUUAAGUGGGAAAAAAGGUCCAUUUCUAAUACAAAUGGAAGAUGAUGGUACCACUAGAGAAAGCACCGGCUAAACUCGUGCCAGCAGCCGCGGUAAUACGAGUGGUGCAAGCGUUAUUCGGAAUCAUUGGGCGUAAAGGGCGCGUAGACGGCUUAUUAAGUCUGCUGUUAAAUCCCUCGGCUUAACCGAGGAUCUGCGGCGGAAACUAGUAUGCUAGAGGGUGGAAGAGAGAAGUGGAAUUCUCGGAGUAGCGGUAAAAUGCGUAGAUCUCGAGAGGAACACCAAUGGCGAAGGCAGCUUCUUGGUCCACAUCUGACGUUGAGGCGCGAAAGCGUGGGGAGCAAACAG
Molecule: ribosomal RNA, 428 nt
Filed under: uncultured bacterium
Lineage: Bacteria
Description: bacterial SSU rRNA
Rfam family: Bacterial small subunit ribosomal RNA
Source: RNAcentral